GCCUUUUUAUUUAAAGAUAGAAUUGAGACAUGAUUAAAAGUGGUUUAUGCCCAUAGCUGCCGGUCAUAUGCGUAAGAACUUUGGUAUAGAGGACAUAUACGAUCAUCACAACAAUUCAUACAACUUAUUUUCAUUUCAUUGCAAUUCUUUUAAAACUUUCUUUACAUCUUUUGUUGACAAGCUUUCAUAGGUUCUCUCUUACACAUCUUCAGUACAUGACUUUCAAACUAUUAAUUCUUUCAAGAAGUAAAACUACGAAACCAGUCAGAGUGCCCUCCCCAAGAUUAAUCAUUUGACUUUCAUUUAGAAAUAGUCUGUUGACGAUUUUGGCUGCCAUAGCCAACCCAGGAAAAUUUCAAAUUUGAGUACUCUUUAGUUUGUUUCACUUGAUGAUUUAGUUAGGAAAGAUUAGUGCAUAAUGCCAUCAAACAUCUGAAACUUUUGGUAUGAAUGUCAUGAUUUAUUUGUUGCUAUCAUGAUUCUAGUUGUCUCAGGUGACAACUCCAAAAGGAUGUAUGAAAUAAAAAGCCGAUAAAGGAAGAGUACAUUAGUUUAAUUAUGAAUUCAGAGUGAGAUUUUUCAAUAUUAAGGGAGUACGGUGUAAUCUUUCUCAAGAAAAUCGACUCAGGUAUAGAUAAUCAGUUUGACGAGCCCUCAUAGUAGACGAGAUUGGCAUUCAGCGAAGGAUCGGUAAGACUCCAUCUCAUUCGGAGUGCAUCCGAGUGUAUGAGUCAUCGUGUCAGAAUUUUGCUACGGACUUAUGGGUAGGCCGGUACCCUGUCCCAUUUGAUGUCAAAUAGAGGCUUUGUAGACAAAGGUUCAUUUUGUAUAGUAUGUUAGAGUCCUUGACGGCCCAUAUGUAUUCAUGUUUUAAGAAAAUGGUUCAAUGAUACAGUGUUUUCUCA
Long non-coding RNA from Nicotiana attenuata, 905 nucleotides. RefSeq lists it as uncharacterized. NCBI's taxonomy places the organism in Eukaryota, Viridiplantae, Streptophyta, Magnoliopsida, Solanales, Solanaceae. The record is from RefSeq and is a predicted model, not a curated record. The transcript is spliced from 2 exons.